GACGAACGCUGGCGGCGUGCUUAACACAUGCAAGUCGAACGGAAAGGCCCCUUUGGGGGUACUCGAGUGGCGAACGGGUGAGUAACACGUUAGUAACCUGCCCUUGACUUCGGGAUAACUUCAGGAAACUGGGGCUAAUACCGGAUAGGAAUCCUUGCUGCAUGGUGGGGGUUGGAAAGCUUCGGCGGUUUUGGAUGGACUCGCGGCUUAUCAGCUUGUUGGUGGGGUAGUGGCUUACCAAGGCUUUGACGGGUAGCCGGCCUGAGAGGGCGACCGGCCACAUUGGGACUGAGAUACGGCCCAGACGCCUACGGGAGGCAGCAGUGGGGAAUAUUGCACAAUGGGCGGAAGCCUGAUGCAGCAACGCCGCGUGCGGGAUGACGGCCUUCGGGUUGUAAACCGCUUUCAGCAGGGGCGAAGCUUGUGGUGACGGUACCUGCAGAAGAAGCACCGGCUAACUACGUG
RNAcentral lists this ribosomal RNA (465 nucleotides) under uncultured bacterium. RNAcentral's name for it is "partial 16S ribosomal RNA". It matches the Rfam family "Bacterial small subunit ribosomal RNA", at positions 28 to 507 of the family's 1533-position model. The record is from RNAcentral.